GCCAUCUUGAAGUUCUGCAAGUAUCAUCAUAUUCACGAUAGUAGAGUUCGAAAGAACACGAGGGAAUCAAACAAAGUAUAUAUAAAACAAGUUAGAAUGUUUAUGGUAAAAUCCUCUUCGUACAGUUUCCAAAGUUGACACACCCUCACGCUGUGUACAAAGCCAAUGCAUAUGCAUCAUAAAACAGAAAUCAUAAUGAGCCAAAAAUAAAAAAGAGAAAGUUAUAUAUAGCUAGCCAAAAUCUUCAAAUUUAAACCUGAAGAAUCUGGCUUCUAUUGAUUUUUAGCUAAAGAAACGUUAUUCUUUUCCAUGUUCCCCUUUGCGCUAAUCAGUAAUAUUGAGUGUGUGUAUGUAAAUAUAGUAAUUUAUUUCACCAUUCCACCGUAGUUGGAACCUGUGUGUCUUGCUUUACUACCACAUCAUGCAGGCUUUUGUCCUUCAUAUCAUCCCUUGAUUUUUAGGUGCUUCUUUUACUUUUCAAGGGAUAAAAGAAGACCCAUCAUGGACUGCAAAAUGUGGGAGCAAUUGAGGAGGGUUUGUUCUGGAUUGGCUCCCCUGAUCAAAGGAUAUAAAAGGACUAUAGUACUCAACAAGGGUGGAAUUCUUAAGGCUAUUAGCACCUUUAUGGCCACUUUGUCUCUCCAAUUUUAAAGGGAGAGAGUCUUUCAUGGAUGAACCACAUUGUCUAGGCUGUGUUUGGUAGAAAACUUUUGAAACAACGGGCUCUCCAUCUUUCUCUUCCUCGUUAUUACCAAGAUGGUAUUGGUGCAUUACCCAAUUGGUCUUCUCAGGCUUUCUUUGCUUACCAUAGUUUGUGUAAAGCACUAGAAUUUUCUUGUACCCUUUUACCUUUCCACUAACAAAAACUGGUCUAGUCUUGCCUGUUUUGUGCCACCGUGUCUCGCCACCUUCUGCGUCUGUGUGUACCUUUCUUCUUUUUCUUGUUCCUGUUGUGUAUGCUUUUGAAGGUCGAUGAAAGAAAUGGCGAACUAGGCCAUCCUUGCUAACUCCUGGACAUAGUAACAAAAGGGCAACAAAAUGAUUUCUAUUAUUAGAAAACUAAUGCUUCUAUAUUGUAGGGUUAGUUGGAGGCUAGGCAUGAAGAUUUUCUACUUUCUUCUAGUCUAAUGGCAAACGAUAUAUAUGUAUACCAAAGUUAGUUGCUGGGUUUUCAUCAAGUGAUAUAAGAUAGGUUAGCUACCAUUAUGGUUGGAGUCUGAAGAGUUUCUCAUUCAUUUUCGUCUUCAGGGACAAAGCAAACUGGUCAAUUGGAAAACUGUACGCUCCACUUUCAUGCAUAGACAUAGCUAUAGAAUAACCUUGUUUUCCAAACAUCAGAAGAUCUAUAUCUAUAUGAUUAACCAUGAUCAUGAAAUGUGAUGAGGAUUUCCAGAUCUUUAUAAUACUGUAAGGAACUAGAAAUGAUCGGAUCCCUGGAAUAAUUUUCACCUGGCAACUUUUCUGGGUGAGUAUAGCAAAUUCCAUUCUCUCCUUCAAUUGUGGGGAUAAACUCAUCGAUAAGAGGAUGAAUCUUACGAGCAUCAGACUUGACCUUUCCCUCCAAAUGCUCAAGCAGCUCUUGAUCAGUCGGAUCAAACUUCACUCCAGCUGGCAGCCCAGGCAAAUCAUGGAUUCUCGCCUGAUCUUGGCACUUGAUCUGGUGACCACAAGAAGGGCAGCUUCUAAGUAGGCUUUCUUUGUGUCUUUGAGCAAUAUUAACACUGCUUGAAUUGGAAGGAACUGGAGAGGUUCUUUCAAUGGUUUGAACAUCGUUACUGUCAUUGCACCAAGUCAUUUCCUCCGUUUCCUCUUAUGCCCAUCCCACAGUGAAUCCUUUCUUUCUUGCUUUCUCCUCUACUGCUACUCCAAAAACCAAAAACUAUGGGAGAGAGAGACAGAGAGAUCGCAGA
This 1910-nucleotide unclassified non-coding RNA is filed under the name Hevea brasiliensis (rubber tree). Lineage: Eukaryota; Viridiplantae; Streptophyta; Magnoliopsida; Malpighiales; Euphorbiaceae. The record is from RNAcentral.